This 459-nucleotide ribosomal RNA is filed under the name uncultured bacterium. RNAcentral describes it as "partial 16S ribosomal RNA". It matches the Rfam family "Bacterial small subunit ribosomal RNA", at positions 338 to 795 of the family's 1533-position model. The record is from RNAcentral.
CCUACGGGAGGCAGCAGUGAGGAAUAUUGGUCAAUGGGCGGGAGCCUGAACCAGCCAAGUCGCGUGAGGGAUGACGGCCCUAUGGGUUGUAAACCUCUUUUGUCGGGGAGCAAAGCGAACCACGUGUGGCUCAUUGAGAGUACCCGAAGAAAAAGCAUCGGCUAACUCCGUUCCAGCAGCCGCGGUAAUACGGAGGAUGCGAGCGUUAUCCGGAUUUAUUGGGUUUAAAGGGUGCGCAGGCGGAGGUGCAAGUCAGCGGUCAAAUUGCGGGGCUCAACCCCGGACUGCCGUUGAAACUGCAGCCCUUGAGUGCGCGAGAAGUAUGCGGAAUGCGUGGUGUAGCGGUGAAAUGCAUAGAUAUCACGCAGAACUCCGAUUGCGAAGGCAGCAUACCGGCGCGCAACUGACGCUCAUGCACGAAAGCGUGGGUAUCGAACAGGAUUAGAUACCCGUGUAGUC